UACGGAGGGGGCAAGCGUUGUUCGGAAUUACUGGGCGUAAAGCGUGCGCAGGCGGUUUCUUAAGUCAGAUGUGAAAGCCCCGGGCUUAACCUGGGAACUGCGUUUGAAACUGGGAGACUUGAGUGUGGCAGAGGGGGGUGGAAUUCCACGUGUAGCAGUGAAAUGCGUAGAUAUGUGGAGGAACACCGAUGGCGAAGGCAGCCCCCUGGGUUAACACUGACGCUCAUGCACGAAAGCGUGGGGAGCAAACAGG
Molecule: ribosomal RNA, 253 nt
Filed under: uncultured bacterium
Lineage: Bacteria
Description: partial 16S ribosomal RNA
Rfam family: Bacterial small subunit ribosomal RNA
Source: RNAcentral